RNAcentral lists this unclassified non-coding RNA (230 nucleotides) under Hevea brasiliensis (rubber tree). The record is from RNAcentral. Lineage: Eukaryota; Viridiplantae; Streptophyta; Magnoliopsida; Malpighiales; Euphorbiaceae.
AAUAAUUACAUUUAUAAUAGUACACCUAUAAUCAACCCAACACUGAAAAGUUAAUAAUUACAUGAAAGAAAGGAAAACAUCAUACAACUUUUGUAAUGAAUUUCUCACAGCUUUUUCAUAGGAGAUAACACAAAUAAAGAACCAUUUCAAAAGAAUAUUUACCAUGAAAUUAUUUUACAAGGAUUAAGAACGUUAAACUAGGCCAAUAGCCAAUUAGCAUUUCAAACCAC